UACGAAGGGGGCUAGCGUUGCUCGGAAUCACUGGGCGUAAAGGGUGCGUAGGCGGGUCUUUAAGUCAGGGGUGAAAUCCUGGAGCUCAACUCCAGAACUGCCUUUGAUACUGAGGAUCUUGAGUUCGGGAGAGGUGAGUGGAACUGCGAGUGUAGAGGUGAAAUUCGUAGAUAUCGCAAGAACACCAGUGGCGAAGGCGGGCUCACUGGCCCGAUACUGACGCUGAGGCAGA
RNAcentral lists this ribosomal RNA (232 nucleotides) under uncultured bacterium. Its description in RNAcentral is "partial 16S ribosomal RNA". It matches the Rfam family "Bacterial small subunit ribosomal RNA", at positions 524 to 756 of the family's 1533-position model. The record is from RNAcentral.